CGAACAGGGGUGCGCAAGCUGAGAUAUACCCUUAAUACCUGAACUAGGUAAUACUAGCGUAGGGAGUUUCU
RNAcentral lists this non-coding RNA (71 nucleotides) under uncultured Bulleidia sp. The record is from RNAcentral. Lineage: Bacteria; Bacillati; Bacillota; Erysipelotrichia; Erysipelotrichales; Erysipelotrichaceae.